GGAGAGCGAGGUCGCCGGAGGCGGCGGGGGAGGAGGAGGAGGGACGACGACCCCGCCGGCCCUCGCGACCGGGCGGUAGACGUGCUGAGGGAGGAGGAGGUGUGGGGGUGAGGAGGGCAUCUGGGAGGGGAGGCUAUGGUGGCUGGAGUCGCUGAGGUCGGAGCCGGAGGGGCUCCCGGGGGCGGCGGCGGAGGAGAGCGUCGGGUGGCCGUCGCUGGUUGUCCGCUUGAGAGGGCGGAGGUCGUCGGCGAGGAGAGAAGAGUGGUGCUUGCGCUUGAGGGUGGAGUUCCAGUGGUUCUUGAUGGCGUUGUCGGUGCGGCCGGCGAGGAGCCUGGCGAUGGUGGCCCACUUG
Molecule: long non-coding RNA, 352 nt
Filed under: Oryza sativa (Asian cultivated rice)
Lineage: Eukaryota; Viridiplantae; Streptophyta; Magnoliopsida; Poales; Poaceae
Description: long non-coding RNA (OSAT_LNC001577)
Source: RNAcentral